Molecule: long non-coding RNA, 1602 nt
Organism: Hyaena hyaena (striped hyena)
Lineage: Eukaryota; Metazoa; Chordata; Mammalia; Carnivora; Hyaenidae
Exons: 4
Source: RefSeq, a predicted model, not a curated record
AAGGACGGAGAUGGCCGAGUGGCGGCGGGCACUGACGAGGGCGGAUGGAAAGGGCGGAGACGGAGCGGAAAGGUCCGAAGCUGAGCCGCUGUGGAGCGAUGGAGGCAGACGAGUGACGGAAGAGGCCGAAGGCCUGGGCGCGGGCGCGGGGGCCGCGUGGCGGGACGGCCGAGCGCGGGAGCAGAGGCUGAGCACCGGGCGGCCGCGCCGAGCGGUGCCGGGGCAGCUGGGGACGGGUCAGGAGAGAUGAAAGUCCAGUUCGGUGGCCAGGACACGGAGGGACAGAAGUGUGGACAAGAGGAACAGCACGUUCUCUUCCACGGUGGCUCUGCUGUCAGGGGCACCAUCGUGUCCGGGCCCUGCCCCCCCCCCCGGCCCCUGCCCCUCACCUGGAGGGUGCCAGUGUCCGGACCACAGACGUGCAGCACCCUGCCGUCUUCUGCACCCCAACCCUGCUGAGCCGCCACCACUCACGCUCACAGGCCCGGACGCCUGGACACACAGGACGCUGAGGACGGAGCAGCUGUUCUGGGGCCUGACGUCCACGGGAUGGAAACAGUGUCCCGGGUCCGAGUCACCUGAGCUCAGGAGACCCCGGGAGGGGCCGCACCACAUCCCACCCUAGAACAUACCCCGCACCAGAUGAGGCACCGCAGGACGACCUGAAGAGCUGGGGCUCCGCACCGUGACCGCCGCCCUCGGUGUCCCUGGCGCAGACGCAGCCGGGUUCACAGGAGCCUGGCCUUUGUAGACAUGGUGCAGAGCCACCAGAGUGCGCUCCACAGCUCGGUGCACUGGGCAGAGGAUCUGGGAUGGACCCCCACUUAGAGGAUCAACGCACAUUUGACCGAGAUACAGUUCAGUGUGGGAAAACAUGGUCCUUUACAGAAAGUGAUGGACAAAGCGGACAUCCAUAUGGCCACAAAGUAACACUGAUCCUUGUUUCACACUGGACAAUUCAAAGUGGUUCACGUACAUAAUCAUCGAAUCAAAGUCAAACAUACAGGAAGCAUAGGGUAAACUACGCCCCACGUGUGUCUGGAUGGGCACACACAAUGCAGAUACAAACUUGAAAAGGCCUUGAUAUGGAAGACACGCAGGACUGUUACCACAAUAAUAACACAAACAAGCCCCCAUGAUGAGGAAAACACUUGAAGACACAUCCCAAAAAAUACACGGCCACCCAAUAAGCACACGGAGAUGUUCCAUAUUAUCAGCCGUCGGAGGAAUCUGAACUGAAAGCGUGAGAUUCCACUGAACACCCAUGUGAAUGACUCUAGUUAAAAAGCCAGACGUGCUGAGUGUUGGGAAAGCUUCGGAGCAGUGGGAACUCGCAUAUGCUGCUCGUGGGAAUUGGUACUAACACUUUGGAAAACUCCUUUCAUCAGUUUCUUUUAAAAGUUAAGAUACAGGUGGUGCCCAGGUGGCCCACGUGGUUAAGUGCCUGACUCUUGGUUUUGAUUCAGGUCGUGACUGAUGAUCUGUGAGAUCGGGCCCCACGUUGUGCUGACAGCAGAGACGACUGGGAUUCUCGCUCUGCCCUGUCCUGCUUGUGCAUGCUCAUGUGUGUGUGCGUUCUCUCUCAUAAAAAAUAAAAAACGG